CUGCGGGGAGGUGCUGGGCUUCCUGGGCAGCUCGUCGGUGUUCUGCAAAGACUGCAGGAAGAAAGUCUGCACCAAAUGUGGGAUCGAGGCCUCCCCUGGCCAGAAGCGGCCCCUGUGGCUGUGUAAGAUCUGCAGUGAGCAAAGAGAG
RNAcentral lists this unclassified non-coding RNA (148 nucleotides) under Homo sapiens (human). RNAcentral's name for it is "rabphilin 3A like (without C2 domains) (ENSG00000282013.1)". The record is from RNAcentral. Lineage: Eukaryota; Metazoa; Chordata; Mammalia; Primates; Hominidae.